GUCGAACGGUGAAGCCCAGCUUGCUGGGUGGAUCAGUGGCGAACGGGUGAGUAACACGUGAGCAAUCUGCCCCUGACUCUGGGAUAAGCGCUGGAAACGGCGUCUAAUACUGGAUACGAACCGUGGAGGCAUCUUCAACGGUUGGAAAGAUUUUUUGGUCAGGGAUGAGCUCGCGGCCUAUCAGCUUGUUGGUGAGGUAAUGGCUCACCAAGGCGUCGACGGGUAGCCGGCCUGAGAGGGUGACCGGCCACACUGGGACUGAGACACGGCCCAGACUCCUACGGGAGGCAGCAGUGGGGAAUAUUGCACAAUGGGCGAAAGCCUGAUGCAGCAACGCCGCGUGAGGGAUGACGGCCUUCGGGUUGUAAACCUCUUUUAGCAGGGAAGAAGCGAAAGUGACGGUACCUGCAGAAAAAGCGCCGGCUAACUACGUGCCAGCAGCCGCGGUAAUACGUAGGGCGCAAGCGUUAUCCGGAAUUAUUGGGCGUAAAGAGCUCGUAGGCGGUUUGUCGCGUCUGCUGUGAAAUCCCGAGGCUCAACUUCGGGUCUGCAGUGGGUACGGGCAGACUAGAGUGCGGUAGGGGAGAUUGGAAUUCCUGGUGUAGCGGUGGAAUGCGCAGAUAUCAGGAGGAACACCGAUGGCGAAGGCAGAUCUCUGGGCCGUAACUGACGCUGAGGAGCGAAAGGGUGGGGAGCAAACAGGCUUAGAUACCCUGGUAGUCCACCCCGUAAACGUUGGGAACUAGUUGUGGGGUCCAUUCCACGGAUUCCGUGACGCAGCUAACGCAUUAAGUUCCCCGCCUGGGGAGUACGGCCGCAAGGCUAAAACUCAAAGGAAUUGACGGGGACCCGCACAAGCGGCGGAGCAUGCGGAUUAAUUCGAUGCAACGCGAAGAACCUUACCAAGGCUUGACAUAUACGAGAACGCUGCAGAAAUGUAGAACUCUUUGGACACUCGUAAACAGGUGGUGCAUGGUUGUCGUCAGCUCGUGUCGUGAGAUGUUGGGUUAAGUCCCGCAACGAGCGCAACCCUCGUUCUAUGUUGCCAGCACGUAAUGGUGGGAACUCAUGGGAUACUGCCGGGGUCAACUCGGAGGAAGGUGGGGAUGACGUCAAAUCAUCAUGCCCCUUAUGUCUUGGGCUUCACGCAUGCUACAAUGGCCGGUACAAAGGGCUGCAAUACCGUGAGGUGGAGCGAAUCCCAAAAAGCCGGUCCCAGUUCGGAUUGAGGUCUGCAACUCGACCUCAUGAAGUCGGAGUCGCUAGUAAUCGCAGAUCAGCAACGCUGCGGUGAAUACGUUCCCGGGUCUUGUACACACCGCCCGUCAAGUCAUGAAAGUCGGUAACACCUGAAGCCGGUGGCCCAACCCUUGUGGAGGGAG
This 1382-nucleotide ribosomal RNA is filed under the name Microbacterium laevaniformans. RNAcentral describes it as "bacterial SSU rRNA". It matches the Rfam family "Bacterial small subunit ribosomal RNA". The record is from RNAcentral. Lineage: Bacteria; Bacillati; Actinomycetota; Actinomycetes; Micrococcales; Microbacteriaceae.